Molecule: long non-coding RNA, 892 nt
Organism: Gavialis gangeticus (Gharial)
Lineage: Eukaryota; Metazoa; Chordata; Crocodylia; Gavialidae
Exons: 3
Source: RefSeq, a predicted model, not a curated record
UUGUUCAACACCUUCCCGAACAAUCUGGUGAUGGGACUGAGUGCAUACUUAGGCAAAAUACCAAAGUUACCCAUAGAGCAAACAUUAACAGUGCUAGCACAGGUUUCCACUAGAAGACCUAUUCUAGGUCACAGGACUUAAUCAGUUAAGGCAGCAGUAUUAAAAUAAAACAGCAAUAGAAAGGAAAAAGUUCAGCACUUCAGACUGGCUGCUAGAACCCCAUUGGGAAGAUGGGGUCAGACCAGCGAUGUGAAAAAGCUGUUGUAUGAUGGAUGAAACGCCCAUCAGAAGAGGGGAAUUUAUUUGUCUGUGUUGAACAUUUAAGUGUUUUGACUCUAGUACCACCAGUCGAGUUCCUCUCCAGGCAUGUGUACACCCACAGCCACUACUGAAGUUAAAGGCACCGUGCAGAGCAGCUAGUAGACAUGGUCCUGAUAACCAAUAGCUUUCCCAAAACAAUAUUUCUGAAGACAGACAGAAUAAGAGACCCUCUUGAUAGAGGUUCAGUAAGCACCAACAUCACAUUAAAUAAUGUUUCCGUUUACAAAGUCAUUGGCAUAACUCUUUUAUACAGCAAAAAAGAUAUCCUUUUUGAAAUUUAAGUAAGGAGACACUGAACACCAGAACAAGUAUUUAUUCUACUUUCAAUCAUUAACACUAAGGUUACCAAAAUACAAAGCUAAGUUAACAAGCACUUAUUCAACUAUCAAUAAAGCAGGGCAACCAAAUAGAUGGCACUGCCUAACUGCUCAAAUGGGUACACUGCUGCCUCACGUCCAUUUACAAUGCCAUCUGGUGGCCUUCAAGCUCUUCACACUGGUGAUGACAUUGCUUUAAGAUGGCUUAAACAAUAUGCUGAAACGGCAUAUGCUAAAUAAGGUGACAAUAGCAG